Molecule: long non-coding RNA, 726 nt
Filed under: Nicotiana benthamiana
Lineage: Eukaryota; Viridiplantae; Streptophyta; Magnoliopsida; Solanales; Solanaceae
Description: long non-coding RNA (NBEN_LNC024582)
Source: RNAcentral
CCGCCCCUAAGCCAUUAAUCCUCUCCAACUCUCUGUAGCCCUCUCCGAAACCCUAACCUUUCCCCGCCGAUUUCCACCUUGUUUCACCGGAAUCAAUGGCACCCCAAGCCGCGAGCAACCUAUACUCACCUCCAACUGUCAUUAUACCCCUGUUACAUGAAGAUUUAAGGUCUGACCUUGAAGGCUCAUGCUCAUACAUCCGCCGAUUCGACUUCUGCGGCCAUCUCCGCUGUGGCUCCGGCUUAUCUUAGCCCUAUGAGUCCAUCUCUGACUCAGUCGAGUCGAAGCAAUCCCUUUUCCAGGCCUUUCUCACUUCUAGGGCUCUUCUGAAACCACAGUCUUUCGAGGUUUUCCAAUUUCUCUAGAUCUGCUCUAGAUCCAUGUCUAUUUUAGGGGUUUCAAAUGAUUUCUUGAGUCUCUUUCAAAGCCUUGCUUUCAAAAACUGUUCAUCUUCUCCGAUUUAGGUUUUGUUUGAUUUUUCUUGUUCUACUGUGAUUCCUAUGUUUUACUCUUACCGUAUUUGUUCUACUGUAACUCCUAUGUGUUUCUACUGUGCUUCCUAUGUGUUUUUUUCUACUAUGUUUCCUCCUAUAUUUCUUUUACUGUGUUUUCUCUCAUUAUGAUUUCAUGAAAUGCUUAAGUUCCUCUGGGUUUGCUGAAUUUAUGUUGUCUGAUUGUUUGGUUUCGUCUCUACACCAAACUAAUGGCGAAAACCCUAGAAUUGGG